GUUAACUCCUCUUCAUAAGUCAAUUGUUUUUAUUUUAUUUUAAAUUAACUUAAUUGAUUUAGAGAUGGCACCUGCCACAUCUCGAAGUGCACUCUGGUUGCUUCCACUUUUAUCCUUCUCCCUGUCCUCUAAAAUUUUUGUUGCACUUGGUGUAUGCCUCCCAUCAUAGGAUUUAGACUAUUUGCUAUUAUGAUGCGUGUUUUAGAUUGUUG
This 212-nucleotide unclassified non-coding RNA is filed under the name Hevea brasiliensis (rubber tree). The record is from RNAcentral. Lineage: Eukaryota; Viridiplantae; Streptophyta; Magnoliopsida; Malpighiales; Euphorbiaceae.